UACGUAGGGUGCGAGCGUUGUCCGGAAUUAUUGGGCGUAAAGAGCUCGUAGGCGGUGUGUCACGUCGUUCGUGAAAACCUGCAGCUUAACUGUGGGCGUGCGGUCGAUACGGGCAUCACUGGAGUUCGGCAGGGGAGACUGGAAUUCCUGAUGUAGCGGUGAAAUGCGCAGAUAUCAGGAGGAACACCGGUGGCGAAGGCGGGUCUCUGGGCCGAUACUGACGCUGAGGAGCGAAAGCGUGGGGAGCGAACAGG
Molecule: ribosomal RNA, 254 nt
Filed under: uncultured bacterium
Lineage: Bacteria
Description: partial 16S ribosomal RNA
Rfam family: Bacterial small subunit ribosomal RNA
Source: RNAcentral